UCUACGGGAGGCAGCAGUGAGGAAUAUUGGUCAAUGGACGAGAGUCUGAACCAGCCAAGUAGCGUGAAGGAUGACUGCCCUAUGGGUUGUAAACUUCUUUUAUAAAGGAAUAAAACGAGGCACGUGUGCCUUUUUGCAUGUACUUUAUGAAUAAGGAUCGGCUAACUCAGUGCCAGCGGCCGCGGUAAUACGGAGGAUCCGAGCGUUAUCCGGGUUUAUUGGGUUUAAAGGGAGCGUAGAUGGGUUGGUAAGUCCGUUGUGAAAGUUUGCGGCUCAACCGUAAAAUUGCAAUUGAUACUGGCAGUCUGGAGUACAGUUGAGGUAGGCGGAAUUCGUGGUGUAGCGGUGAAAUGCUUAGAUAUCACGCAGAACCCCGAUUGCGAAGGCAGCAUACCGGCGCCCUACUGACGCUGAGGCACGAAAGUGCGGGUAUCGAACAGGAUUAGAUACCCGUGUAGUC
Molecule: ribosomal RNA, 460 nt
Filed under: uncultured bacterium
Lineage: Bacteria
Description: partial 16S ribosomal RNA
Rfam family: Bacterial small subunit ribosomal RNA
Source: RNAcentral